Molecule: ribosomal RNA, 482 nt
Filed under: uncultured bacterium
Lineage: Bacteria
Description: partial 16S ribosomal RNA
Rfam family: Bacterial small subunit ribosomal RNA
Source: RNAcentral
AUUGAACGCUGGCGGCAUGCUUUACACAUGCAAGUCGAACGGUAACAGGCCGCAAGGUGCUGACGAGUGGCGAACGGGUGAGUAAUGCAUCGGAACGUGCCCAGUCGUGGGGGAUAACUACUCGAAAGAGUAGCUAAUACCGCAUACGAUCUAUGGAUGAAAGCGGGGGACCGUAAGGCCUCGCGCGAUUUGAGCGGCCGAUGUCAGAUUAGGUAGUUGGUGGGGUAAAGGCUCACCAAGCCAACGAUCUGUAGCUGGUCUGAGAGGACGACCAGCCACACUGGGACUGAGACACGGCCCAGACUCCUACGGGAGGCAGCAGUGGGGAAUUUUGGACAAUGGGCGCAAGCCUGAUCCAGCAAUGCCGCGUGCAGGAAGAAGGCCUUCGGGUUGUAAACUGCUAUUGUACGGAACGAAACGGCUCUGGUUAAUACCCGGGGCUAAUGACGGUACCGUAAGAAUAAGCACCGGCUAACUACGUG